CACGAGCUAGCUCUCCUGAGGUGACUGUCGUCAGAUAAACACGAGCUAGCUCUCCAGAGGUGACUGUCGUCAGAUAAACACGAGCUAGCUCUCCAGAGGUGACUGUCGUCAGAUAAACACGAGCUAGCUCUCCAGAGGUGACUGUCGUCAG
This is a long non-coding RNA of Oncorhynchus keta (chum salmon), 151 nucleotides long. RefSeq lists it as uncharacterized. The record is from RefSeq and is a predicted model, not a curated record. NCBI's taxonomy places the organism in Eukaryota, Metazoa, Chordata, Actinopteri, Salmoniformes, Salmonidae. The transcript is spliced from 3 exons.